AACAGUACAACAGGCCUGAAAUGCAAUGAAAACUCAAAGUAUUAGACAGUCACCUACACUAACAACAACCUCGUUAAUCCAUUACUCUAUCACCAGAACAUUUCGACAUUUCACAAAUCCAUAAAGCAGUUUUAAUUCAACAAGCAUUAGCAACUAAACUAGUGCAUAGCAAAUAGAAACCUCUUUAGUCUUUAGACUGGUAUAUAUUGGCAACUCCCG
RNAcentral lists this unclassified non-coding RNA (219 nucleotides) under Hevea brasiliensis (rubber tree). Lineage: Eukaryota; Viridiplantae; Streptophyta; Magnoliopsida; Malpighiales; Euphorbiaceae. The record is from RNAcentral.